RNAcentral lists this ribosomal RNA (483 nucleotides) under uncultured bacterium. RNAcentral's name for it is "partial 16S ribosomal RNA". It matches the Rfam family "Bacterial small subunit ribosomal RNA", at positions 30 to 507 of the family's 1533-position model. The record is from RNAcentral.
AUUGAACGCUGGCGGCAGGCCUAACACAUGCAAGUCGAGCGGAUGAAGGGAGCUUGCUCCUGGAUUCAGCGGCGGACGGGUGAGUAAUGCCUAGGAAUCUGCCUGGUAGUGGGGGAUAACGUCCGGAAACGGGCGCUAAUACCGCAUACGUCCCGAGGGAGAAAGUGGGGGAUCUUCGGACCUCACGCUAUCAGAUGAGCCUAGGUCGGAUUAGCUAGUUGGUGGGGUAAAGGCCUACCAAGGCGACGAUCCGUAACUGGUCUGAGAGGAUGAUCAGUCACACUGGAACUGAGACACGGUCCAGACUCCUACGGGAGGCAGCAGUGGGGAAUAUGGACAAUGGGCGAAAGCCUGAUCCAGCCAUGCCGCGUGUGUGAAGAAGGUCUUCGGAUUGUAAAGCACUUUAAGUUGUGAGGAAGGGCAGUAAGUUAAUACCUUGCUGUUUUGACGUUACCAACAGAAUAAGCACCGGCUAACUUCGUG